CCAACGUGGACAUCCGGUGAGGUUGCUCUCGCAUGGCUCUGUCCUUGUACUACGCUCCCAUACGCCACUUCACAGUGCUGUGACGUACAGUCCCGUUCCACGACGUUGGAGAGCAAGCUUUGUCCCCGGCCUUCGGGCUGGUGAGGACGGCGUUCUGUAUAUUCCUACAUCUUCCCAGAGCCCUUUGGGCCAUGACUGGGGGGCUAAACCAUGCAGUGUACAAUU
This 225-nucleotide small nucleolar RNA is filed under the name Oncorhynchus mykiss (rainbow trout). Its description in RNAcentral is "Small nucleolar RNA SNORA73 family (ENSOMYG00000071422.1)". It matches the Rfam family "Small nucleolar RNA SNORA73 family". From Rfam's summary of the family: U17 (SNORA73A and SNORA73B) also known as E1 belongs to the H/ACA class of small nucleolar RNAs (snoRNAs). Vertebrate U17 is intron-encoded and ranges in length from 200-230 nucleotides, longer than most snoRNAs. It is one of the most abundant snoRNAs in human cells and is essential for the cleavage of pre-rRNA within the 5' external transcribed spacer (ETS). The record is from RNAcentral. Lineage: Eukaryota; Metazoa; Chordata; Actinopteri; Salmoniformes; Salmonidae.